Molecule: ribosomal RNA, 372 nt
Filed under: uncultured organism
Description: partial 16S ribosomal RNA
Rfam family: Bacterial small subunit ribosomal RNA
Source: RNAcentral
GAACUGUGCAAACGUUAUUCGGAAUCACUGGGGCUUAAAGGGUGCGCAGGCGGCUUGAUAAGUAGGAUGUGAAAUCUCCCGGGCCCAACCGGGGGAACUGCGUUCUAAACUGUCAGGCUUGAGUGAGAUAGGGGUGUGCGGAACUUCCAGUGGAGCGGUGAAAUGUGUUGAUAUUGGAAGGAACACCGGUAGCGAAAGCGGCACACUGGGUCUCUACUGACGCUCAUGCACGAAAGCCAGGGUAGCGAACGGGAUUAGAUACCCCGGUAGUCCUGGCUGUAAACGAUGAGCACUAGACGGGAGGGGUUUCGGCCCAUCCGGUCACAGCGAAAGCACUAAGUGCUCCGCCUGGGGAGUAUGGUCGCAAGGCUG